CUACGGGGUGCUGCAGUGGGGAAUAUUGGACAAUGGGGGAAACCCUGAUCCAGCAAUGCCGCGUGUGUGAAGAAGGCCUGCGGGUUGUAAAGCACUUUCGGUUGGGAGGACUGCUUCUAGCACUAAUAUUGUUGGAAGUUGACGUUACCUUCAGAAGAAGCACCGGCUAACUCCGUGCCAGCAGCCGCGGUAAUACGGAGGGUGCACGCGUUAAUCGGAAUUACUGGGCGUAAAGCGCGCGUAGGCGGCUAGAUCAGUCGGGUGUGAAAGCCCCGGGCUUAACCUGGGAACUGCAUCCGAUACUGUCUAGCUUGAGUACAGGAGAGGAGAGUGGAAUUCCACAUGUAGCGGUGAAAUGCGUAGAUAUGUGGAGGAACACCAAUGGCGAAGGCAGCUCUCUGGCCUGAUACUGACGCUGAGGUGCGAAAGCGUGGGGAUCAAACAGGAUUAGAUACCCUUGUAGUC
This 465-nucleotide ribosomal RNA is filed under the name uncultured bacterium. RNAcentral's name for it is "partial 16S ribosomal RNA". It matches the Rfam family "Bacterial small subunit ribosomal RNA", at positions 339 to 795 of the family's 1533-position model. The record is from RNAcentral.